This 898-nucleotide long non-coding RNA is filed under the name Panax ginseng (ginseng). RNAcentral describes it as "long non-coding RNA (PGIN_LNC018051)". Lineage: Eukaryota; Viridiplantae; Streptophyta; Magnoliopsida; Apiales; Araliaceae. The record is from RNAcentral.
CCUGUGAUGACUUUUCCAUCAACAGGAAAACCCAUAAUAAUCAACAUGUCAUCGAGGGUGGGGACUAAAAACCUUCUUGGGCAUCGUAACACCUCAAGACAGCCUCCAAAAGAUCAAGAUUUGGAUGAUAUAAUUUGUUGAGCCUGGCGAUGUUCUCGAAGCCUGUACCUUCGAGUCUCGUAGUAACACGCACGUCAGACACCCAAUUCUUGAGUUUAUCAAGAUGAGUUGUGAAUUUAACCUGCAAUAUUUCAAAUUAAAACAAAAAAAAAUUAUGAGUAUUAAGGAUUUAGAGUAAUAUUAAUUUUCUUAACCAGAACAUAAGUGCAAAUUAUUUUUAUUCCCAAGUGUAAAACAGUACUUUGUGUAAAUCACCCACUAACAUUCACACUUAUACAAGUAUAGAUAUAAAAUUUCCAAAUUUGACCAAAAAGAUAAAAGUAUACGGGUAACAUUUCAACAAAAAGUUAAAAAAAAGAGAGAAAUAAAUGAAGAAAUGAUUACGAUACCAUGCUUCCUGGAUACUAGAAGAGAUGAGAGAGCUUCAGAAAAAGAUCCGGUUAUCUAUAUGGUUAUCUAUAUAUGUAUAUAUGUGAGCGAUGUGCUUGAUUUAAGUACUUCCACUGCGGAACCGAGGGGACGGAGGGGGUCCUGGUAUAUAUAUUUGUACUAGUAAGCUUAUAUUGGAAAAUAUGUGCGAGUAAGAGAGAGAGAUUAAUACCGAAGAGUAACUGUGAAAAGUGACAGCUAGAGAGAGAAAGAGAACCAUUGGGUUGUUUUUAGAGAGAGAUAGGAAGAGACGAGGAAGAGGUUGCUGGGCGGGUGAUAGAUUAAGAAUUUUGACAAAUAUAGGAAGUUGAAUGGCAAUAGACAUGGAAGUGACUCAUUUCUCAAUAAU